CUGUAGCUCAGCGGACAGAGCACCGGUUUCCUAAACCGGGGGUCGCAAGUUCGAAUCUUGCCGGGGGCG
RNAcentral lists this transfer RNA (69 nucleotides) under bacterium. RNAcentral describes it as "tRNA-Arg". It matches the Rfam family "tRNA". Rfam says of the family: Transfer RNA (tRNA) molecules are approximately 80 nucleotides in length. Their secondary structure includes four short double-helical elements and three loops (D, anti-codon, and T loops). The record is from RNAcentral.